This 222-nucleotide unclassified non-coding RNA is filed under the name Hevea brasiliensis (rubber tree). The record is from RNAcentral. Lineage: Eukaryota; Viridiplantae; Streptophyta; Magnoliopsida; Malpighiales; Euphorbiaceae.
CCAAAGCAGGUCAUAUGGGAUGGUCACACCGGAAGCAUUGGCCGUACAGCAAAUCAAGCUAUGUCUCAAAAUGUUGGGGAGGAUCAAAGUGAAGCUGGUUAUGAUGAUGCAAGGAGCCUUCCUGGUCCUGCAGCUCCUCCUCCUCGACCUGGUGUGCCUUCAGUUCGUCCCCUACCUCCACCACCUGGACUAGCACUGAAUCUGCCUCGCAUGCCUCCAAAU